Long non-coding RNA from Momordica charantia (bitter melon), 466 nucleotides. RefSeq lists it as uncharacterized. The record is from RefSeq and is a predicted model, not a curated record. NCBI's taxonomy places the organism in Eukaryota, Viridiplantae, Streptophyta, Magnoliopsida, Cucurbitales, Cucurbitaceae.
GAAUUAGACAUUAUAUUAGAGAAAAGAAGAAGGAUAUUUAUCAUAUGGCUCUGCAAAAAUCAGCCAAUUGUGUUAUUAUUGUUGGCCUUUUCAUCCUUCUCAUGCUGCUUUCUUCUCCGAUACUAACCUCCCAUGCUGCUCGUUUCGCCAAUAAAGAUCCACCCAUGUGCCCACAGUGCAUGUGUUGCACUUCUCCACCACCAGGACUUUGCUGUGAUUGUUGUUCCAAUUCUCACUUGCCACCAUAAAUCCCUAGCAAUAUAUAGGGACGUGGGAGAUCGAACCUUCGACCGUGAAGGAAUAAACGCAUGUCAAUUACUGUUGAACUAUGCUCGUGUUGGCAAUCCGUAGUUACACUUGUUGCUCUUCGUGUGUAUGUAUGUAUUGUAUUUAAAUUACUGUUGCAAUGCAACGGUUAAUUUAAAUAUUUCAUCAUAUUAUAAUAAACCAUCUCUAUAGUAUUCAA